RNAcentral lists this ribosomal RNA (484 nucleotides) under uncultured Oscillospiraceae bacterium. Its description in RNAcentral is "bacterial SSU rRNA". It matches the Rfam family "Bacterial small subunit ribosomal RNA", at positions 8 to 507 of the family's 1533-position model. The record is from RNAcentral. Lineage: Bacteria; Bacillati; Bacillota; Clostridia; Eubacteriales; Oscillospiraceae.
AGAGUUUGAUCCUGGCUCAGGACGAACGCUGGCGGCACGCCUAACACAUGCAAGUCGAACGGAGUGAAGAUGCUCGCAUCUGAACUUAGUGGCGGACGGGUGAGUAACACGUGAGCAACCUGCCUUUCAGAGGGGGAUAACGUUUGGAAACGAACGCUAAUACCGCAUAAAAUAUCGGAGUCGCAUGGCACUGAUAUCAAAGGAGCAAUCCGCUGAAAGAUGGGCUCGCGUCCGAUUAGGCAGUUGGCGGGGUAACGGCCCACCAAACCGACAAUCGGUAGCCGGACUGAGAGGUUGAACGGCCACAUUGGGACUGAGACACGGCCCAGACUCCUACGGGAGGCAGCAGUGGGGGAUAUUGCACAAUGGGGGAAACCCUGAUGCAGCGAUGCCGCGUGAAUGAAGACGGCCUUCGGGUUGUAAAGUUCUGUCGCAGGGGACGAAAAUGACGGUACCCUGCAAGAAAGCUCCGGCUAACUACGUG